UACGGGAGGGGCAAGCGUUAUCCGUAAUUACUGGGCGUAUAGAGUCCGUAGAUUGUAAUCUAAGUUAUAUGUUAAAAUUUAAAGCUUAACUUUAAAAAAAGAUAAAAUACUGUUUUACUUGAGUUUAAUACAGAAAAGCAGAAUUUCGUGUUAAGGAGUAAAUUCCAAAAAUACAUGAAGGAAUAUCAUCAGCGAAAGCGGCUUUUUAGUGUAAACUGACAUUGAGGGACGAAAGUGUAGGGAGCGAACAAGAUUAGAGACCUUGGUAGUCUACGCUGUAAAUUCUGAGUGCUGUAAUUUAAAAGAAAUUUUGGAUUUUUUAAGCUAACGCUAUAAGCAUUCCGCCUGAGGAGUACGAUCGCAAGAUUGGAACUCAAAGGAAUUGACGGGAGCCUACAACGAGUGGUGGAGCAUGUGGUUUAAUGCGAUAAUCCGCGCAAAACCUUACCAACCCUUGACAUAUUGAAAAAGAAAUUGAAUUAACACAAUUUUUUUAUUAUUAAUUAAAAAAUUAAUUAGUUUUCUUUACAGGUGUUGCACGACUGUCGUCAGCUCGUGUCGUGAGAUGUUUGGUUCAUUCCUUUUAACGAGCGCAACUCUUAUUUUUAAGAAUUUACUUCUAAUUUUUAAAGACUGCUUUCUUAGACAAAUAUUUUAACCAUAAGUUACUUCAAGAUAUAAAACUUUUUUAUGUUUUUUAUACUUAACGCAGUAGAGCAUUUUGCAUAUUUGUGUGGCUAUUCUUAUAGAUUAAACUUUUAUGUUAUUUAUAAUUAAACAGAUAGCCGUUUUUGAGUACUUUAUGGUGCUAUUCCAAACUGUCAGGACACUUUAAAAAUUUUGCUUUAAAAAGACCGUAAAGCUAAAAAUAACAUUAUAAAGGAAGGUGAGAAUUAAGUCAAGUCACUGUGGCCCUUAUGGGUUGGGCUACACACGUGCUACAAUGAAAAUGACAAAAAGUAACGAAAAUAAAAAUUUUUAGUUGAUCUUUAAAAAUUUUCUUAGUUCGGAUUGUAAACUGCAACUCGUUUACAUGAAGUUGGAAUCACAAGUAAUCGCAAAUCAGAACGUUGCGGUGAAUACGUACCUUGGCUG
This 1095-nucleotide ribosomal RNA is filed under the name uncultured organism. RNAcentral describes it as "partial small subunit ribosomal RNA". It matches the Rfam family "Bacterial small subunit ribosomal RNA", at positions 524 to 1381 of the family's 1533-position model. The record is from RNAcentral.